UAAUACGUAGGGUGCGAGCGUUAAUCGGAAUUACUGGGCGUAAAGCGUGCGCAGGCGGUUACUUAAGUCAGGUGUGAAAGCCCUGGGCUUAACCUAGGAAUUGCGCUUGAGACUGGGUAGCUUUGAGUGUGGCAGAGGGAGGUGGAAUUCCACGUGUAGCAGUGAAAUGCGUAGAGAUGUGGAGGAACACCGAUGGCGAAGGCAGCCUCCUGGGCCAGCACUGACGCUCAUGCACGAAAGCGUGGGGAGCAAACAGGAUUAGAUACCCUGGUAGUCCACGCCCUAAACGAUGUCAACUGGUUGUUGGUGGGGUUAAACCCAUUAGUAACGAAGCUAACGCGUGAAGUUGACCGCCUGGGGAGUACGGCCGCAAGGUUA
This 378-nucleotide ribosomal RNA is filed under the name uncultured bacterium. RNAcentral describes it as "bacterial SSU rRNA". It matches the Rfam family "Bacterial small subunit ribosomal RNA", at positions 521 to 896 of the family's 1533-position model. The record is from RNAcentral.